Molecule: ribosomal RNA, 750 nt
Filed under: Microbacterium sp. Sea-11
Lineage: Bacteria; Bacillati; Actinomycetota; Actinomycetes; Micrococcales; Microbacteriaceae
Description: bacterial SSU rRNA
Rfam family: Bacterial small subunit ribosomal RNA
Source: RNAcentral
UAUUGGGCGUAAAGAGCUCGUAGGCGGUUUGUCGCGUNUGCUGUGAAAUCCGGAGGCUCAACCUCCGGCCUGCAGUGGGUACGGGCAGACUAGAGUGCGGUAGGGGAGAUUGGAAUUCCUGGUGUAGCGGUGGAAUGCGCAGAUAUCAGGAGGAACACCGAUGGCGAAGGCAGAUCUCUGGGCCGUAACUGACGCUGAGGAGCGAAAGGGUGGGGAGCAAACAGGCUUAGAUACCCUGGUAGUCCACCCCGUAAACGUUGGGAACUAGUUGUGGGGUCCAUUCCACGGAUUCCGUGACGCAGCUAACGCAUUAAGUUCCCCGCCUGGGGAGUACGGCCGCAAGGCUAAAACUCAAAGGAAUUGACGGGGACCCGCACAAGCGGCGGAGCAUGCGGAUUAAUUCGAUGCAACGCGAAGAACCUUACCAAGGCUUGACAUAUACGAGAACGGGCCAGAAAUGGUCAACUCUUUGGACACUCGUAAACAGGUGGUGCAUGGUUGUCGUCAGCUCGUGUCGUGAGAUGUUGGGUUAAGUCCCGCAACGAGCGCAACCCUCGUUCUAUGUUGCCAGCACGUAAUGGUGGGAACUCAUGGGAUACUGCCGGGGUCAACUCGGAGGAAGGUGGGGAUGACGUCAAAUCAUCAUGCCCCUUAUGUCUUGGGCUUCACGCAUGCUACAAUGGCCGGUACAAAGGGCUGCAAUACCGUGAGGUGGAGCGAAUCCCAAAAAGCCGGUCCCAGUUCGGAUUG